Molecule: long non-coding RNA, 434 nt
Organism: Tachysurus vachellii
Lineage: Eukaryota; Metazoa; Chordata; Actinopteri; Siluriformes; Bagridae
Exons: 4
Source: RefSeq, a predicted model, not a curated record
UACUGUGGAGAAUACAUUAUAUUAAUUAUUAAAAACUUUUGUAGGAAUGUGACUGCAUCACUCGUCUUCACCUGCACCGGCUGCAACACUUUCACCUUCGUUUGAUGCUCGCACGGGGGCACGCAGCAACGAGAACAAUAAAGAGAAUGUGGCUGCAACACGUUCACCUUCGUCUGAUACUCGCACGAGGGCACGCAGCAACGCGAGCGACAUUCAUCCAGUGAAUGUGGCUGCAACACGUUCACCUUCGUCUGAUACUCGCACGAGGACACGCAGCAAUGCAACUGGGAACAAAAAAGAGAAUGUGUCUGCAUCACCUUUACCUUUACCAUCACCUGCUACUCACACGCCGUACUGUAGGUCUCUUUCAGUUCUCAAAGCAACUGAGACUACUGUGUGUUCAGUUAAAUAGGAACUGUUUUGAGCAAUGGCAU